RNAcentral lists this long non-coding RNA (1528 nucleotides) under Heterocephalus glaber (naked mole-rat). RNAcentral describes it as "lncRNA (ENSHGLG00000034258.1)". The record is from RNAcentral. Lineage: Eukaryota; Metazoa; Chordata; Mammalia; Rodentia; Bathyergidae.
CAGAGCCACUGGGUUAGGACUUGUGGAGCGGUGCAUGCAGGAAGGAAAGGCUGCCCUAGAGGCAACACCUGUUUGAAAUGUCCCUGUUAUCUCUGUUUUAACCUGUUCUUCAGCUCAUCUUUCCUGCCUCUCCUGGCUUCUUUAUCUCUCCAGGAGAAAGCUCUGCCUUUCUCUUGAAUUCCCCAUGUAACUCACUGUUCUGUAACCUUGCGCUUAAUUGUCUGUCUCUUCCAGUAGACGGCGAGGGGUUUAAGGACCAGGUCUCCAGAGUGCGGCCCCUGGCAGGAUAAUGAAUGAUGAGUAAACGCACGAGUGAGUGAACCAUGUGGUGGAGCCAGACGCCAUCUUGAAAAACAUAGAUGAGAGUGGUCUCCCAAGAAGCCCUUCUGAUGACCAGCGAGCUAGAACCUGAGAAAUGAGGUCAAUGACCAAACAAAGACACGGCACUGGGUAUUUCCCUGCUAGAAUGUGUGGAAAUAUAUAAUAACACCAAACCCCAAUGAUGGAAAACAAGCUGUGAGUGGAAGUGGAGGCAUUUGAUGGCCCAGCUGAGAACAAAUGGAAGCUAGGCAUAGCCGUGCACACCUGUAAUUCCAGCACUCAGGAGGCUGAACCAGAGGACUGCAGCAAGUUCAAGGCCAGCUUGAGUUACACAGCGAGUUCAAGACCAGCCUGAACUACAUAAGGAGACCCUGUCUAAAAAAAGGGACAUGAUGGAAAAUGUUAUCAUUUGUGCUUCUGAAUUGAUUUAUUCUGAACUUUUUUAUGGACUGGCAAACUCAUAUUAAUUUUUUUUUGAUACUGGGGAUUGAACUUGGGACCUUGUGCUUGCAAGGCAGGCGACAGAAACACUGAGCUAAAUUUUGUUAUAAGGGCCCUAGCUGUUUCUUUUCUUCCUUCUGUAGAAGCAGAUGUGGUCUAUUACUGGACUAUAUGCUCAGCUUUUUUAUUUUUUAUUUUGAGACAGGGUCUUGCUAGGCUGGGCUCGAACUACUGGUGUGUGCUACCCAGCCUGGCUUGUUUCUUUUUUUGGUCCCGGGGAUUGAACUCAGGACCUUGCAUUUGCGAGGCAGGAGGUGGAACCACUGAGCUAAAUCCGCAGCCUGGCUUGUUUCUUAACAAGUGCAACAAAAACAGUUUUCUUUUUUAUUAUAUCAAAUCCCCCAGAGCCUUGAGGUUGUCCUUGUCUAUUUUUUUCCCUUUCAUAUUCCCCAUUCAACCCAUUAACAAACUAUUGGUUGCAUCUUCAAAACUGUUCAGAUUCGGGUGGCUUUUUCCUGCUUUCUUCAUCUGUGCUGUUACGGAAAUAAAGUCAUCGUGCCAGGGAAUAAGCCAAAGCCUCUGGCCAGGACCAGUCACCCCUGGAUGAGGUGGUUGGUGAGUGGGUGGGGGCCCACCUCGGCCCGCCCAGUGCCUCAGACUCCCUGGGGACUGGCACUCAAGACAGGGGUGGGGCCCCAGCCGCAGCUGUCACCUCCCGGGGGAAGCCGCACCUGGUGUCCUUGCCCGCACCUGCACCAGACCCCAG